UACGAAGGGGGCUAGCGUUGUUCGGAAUUACUGGGCGUAAAGCGCACGUAGGCGGAUAUUUAAGUCAGGGGUGAAAUCCCAGAGCUCAACUCUGGAACUGCCUUUGAUACUGGGUAUCUCGAGUAUGGAAGAGGUGAGUGGAAUUCCGAGUGUAGAGGUGAAAUUCGUAGAUAUUCGGAGGAACACCAGAAGCGAAGGCGGCCAACUGGCCCAAUACUGACGCUGAGGCGCGAAAGCGUGGGGAGCAAACAGG
This 253-nucleotide ribosomal RNA is filed under the name uncultured bacterium. Its description in RNAcentral is "partial 16S ribosomal RNA". It matches the Rfam family "Bacterial small subunit ribosomal RNA", at positions 524 to 776 of the family's 1533-position model. The record is from RNAcentral.